CCAAUCGAAGACAAACUGAGUUCAUUGGACUUUGAUUGCCAUAGUUCAAUAGUAUUCACGAACGAAGAUUCAUGAUAACCAUAGAAAGAAAAGCUUAGCUUUUAGAAAGGAGUGGGCUACUGCCCUGCUCUAAAAUUGAGGAAAAUGACUUGGCAACAACACUUCCGUCGUGCAUCUGGAUUCAGAGAACUGCAGCGAAUGGAGGACCUUUCCCGCUUCUUGGUUCCAGAAUUACGAGCUGUCCUUCUGAGACUUUUCCUGAGGUUGGAUUUUUAUGCUUCCACUGGAGGUGUGGUGAUGGCUUGAGCUUCUUCGAACCUUUUGAGGAGGGCGGAGCGAUGCUUUGAUGCCUUAGGAUCGGUCGUCAGCUCCGACAAGUUUCGGAGGAGGCUUGCGGGCAUAAUCUAGGUUGCCCAUGCUUGGACCGUGAAUCAAUUGGCCCAUGCUUGAACCGUGAAUCGGAGCUUGUUGUGAAUCCUUCAGUUUUUGUACUCUUCCCUUGCAUUCAUCAACCUCUUAGUAAAUCUAGUCAACAAUAACACGAAUUCCUAAAUACGAUUUCAACUGCUUUCAAAAUAGUAUUGGAAAUAAAGAUAAAAACCAAGAAUCGAAAUGCAUAUCAACAUCCUAAUAAAGGAUUCUUCCCUGAAAUAAUUUGGGCAUUUCGGGUAAGGCCGAAUCUAGAGCUCCUUGUCCGUGAAUGCGGACAAAAACUCGAUCUGAGUUCAAACGGCUGGACCUAGGUCCAGAUUUUCCUAAUGGCCGGAAUCUGGCGACAAACGCGACGGUAGCGGGCAGUGCGCCGCCCGAGAAGCGAGAUCCCUGUGUGGGGCUCCUGCGUGGCGGCGGUGCGAGGCCUUCUGAUUCAGACUGCGGCGGAGGCGUUUCCAAGCGGAGCGGCACCGGCAUUGAGGCGAUGAUACCGCUGGAGAUUCCAGGACAACCGUGGUGUAGUUAAAUGAAGAGGAUGGCUAUUGUGUUAUCACUUUUUU
RNAcentral lists this long non-coding RNA (992 nucleotides) under Salvia miltiorrhiza (redroot sage). RNAcentral describes it as "long non-coding RNA (SMIL_LNC012867)". Lineage: Eukaryota; Viridiplantae; Streptophyta; Magnoliopsida; Lamiales; Lamiaceae. The record is from RNAcentral.